Cicer arietinum (chickpea) is the source of this 1433-nucleotide long non-coding RNA. RefSeq lists it as uncharacterized. The record is from RefSeq and is a predicted model, not a curated record. Lineage: Eukaryota; Viridiplantae; Streptophyta; Magnoliopsida; Fabales; Fabaceae.
UCUGUUCUCCAAUCAACAUAAAACAACGUUGUUGUUUACGCACUAACGAUCGGAACGAAAGCUCUCACUUUCUCACUCGAUCUCGCUCUCUUCUUCUUUGUCAAGCUCUACUUUACAAUCUCUCGUUCUCCUUCUCCCGGCCUCUGACUUUUCUCAUUGUUACUUUUUUUAGUUUUACUCUUUUUUGGUUUGUCUGUGUGGCUAUUUUGUGGUUCUUUGAUUCUUUUUUUAGGUUUUUCUAUCCGUGAUGGAUUCCCCGCCAGGUACUCCGAUUUCAUCACUCUCUCAUACGGUGGCCACUCCGUCACUUCCGUCGGCACCGAAAAAGAAACCCCAACAGUCUAUGGCAAGGUUUAUUCUGCACUCUUUAGAAGAUGUUAGCGAAAUGGUUCAGGAAAUUAUUCUAAGGCGUGAGUACAGCCAAGAAGCAUUGAAUGCUGAGAGAGAAAGAAAAAUGCGCAUUUUGAUGUCACUGCGAUAGUCAUUCAUUGCUUGCGUGAGUAUGAUUCUUGUGUUGGUUGGUAACUUGGUAUGAUUCUCUGUUCCUUUAUUCCUUUCAAUUUAUAUUUGGUAAGAUUCUAAGUGUAUAGAUUUAUAUACGUUUUUAUGCCAAAAUAUAAAAUAUGCCUUCGAUCUUGAUUUUUAUCCUAAAGAAAGUACCUAUUUUAUAUUAUGAAUCUAUGAUGAAUGAUGAUACUUCUAUAGACGGAUAUGUGUUAGGUAACAAUUUAUGUGUUUCAAUUGUUUAUGAUUCUCAUUCUAAAAUCUAUAAUAAAUCUCCUAAUGUUAGUCCCUCUUGUAACUAUUCGAAUAUUUGAGCACUCACUACCAACAUGUUCUAAUACCCUCUCAUUCACUAUCUAAGGUAUGCUCUUUUCUUUUCCAAAACUAUUUUGAAUCUAUUACUAACUUGAUCGUUGGAGUCUUUGCAGUACCACACCCAUUGCUCAUGAGCAAGAACAGUUUUGCCAACAACAGUUGGUCAAUCUAAUCUACUUCAUAUUUGGACAAUCUCUUCUAUGUGGAAAAAGUGUCGUUUGUCUGCUCGAUAUUGAAAUCGGCCUACAUUCAAGAGAUGUAAGCAUACAUGCAGUAUAUUCCACCACAAGCCUUUCUAGAUCAUAACUCCAAAUCCUAUGAUUGAGUAUUUCUUUUCAACACUUGUUAGGAUUAGGCAAUAGUAUAUAAUUGAACCAAGAGAUCUAUGUUCAACACAUGUCCAGUGCUUCCUCUGCUUACAUCAAGUCACCAUUUUACUUCCUCUGGUUCACAAUAUAUCUGGAUUGAUGUGCAACUUUGAAGUUCUAGGAUGUCAGAUUAUUUCCUUUCUUUGUAUUGUUACAAUAUUGUUUCAUUUGGCCUAUUGUUUCUAUCUUGACCUUAAUUUGUAUAAACUUCAGUUUCCAUGAUAUUGUUAUGUUUAUUUUCCUUCC